RNAcentral lists this ribosomal RNA (465 nucleotides) under uncultured bacterium. RNAcentral describes it as "partial 16S ribosomal RNA". It matches the Rfam family "Bacterial small subunit ribosomal RNA", at positions 28 to 507 of the family's 1533-position model. The record is from RNAcentral.
GACGAACGCUGGCGGCAUGCUUAACACAUGCAAGUCGAACGGGGAACCUGCUGCGGGGGGGGGACAGUGGAGAACGGGUGGGUAACACGUGGGCAACCUGCCCUCAGCUCUGGGAUAACGCCAGGAAAUUGGGGCUAGUACUGGAUAUGACCGCUGACCGCAUGGACUGGUGGUGGAAAGAUGUAUCGGCUGGGGAUGGGGCCGCGGCCUAUCAGCUUGGUGGUGGGGUAGUGGCCUACCAAGGCGACGACGGGUAGCCGGCCUGAGAGGGGGACCGGCCACACUGGGACUGAGCCACGGCCCAGACUCCUCCGGGACGCAGCGGUGGGGAAUAUUGUGCAAUGGGCGAAAGCCUGACGCAGCGACGCCGCGUGGGGGAUGACGGCCUUCGGGUUGUAAUCCUCUUCCAGCAGGGACGAAGCGAAAGUGACGGUACCUGCAGAAGAAGCACCGGCUAACUACGUG